UACAGAGACUGCAAGCGUUACUCGGAAUCACUGGGCGUAAAGGGAGCGCAGGCGGACCGAUGUGUCGGGUGUGAAACCCCGGGGCUCAACCCCGGGACUGCGCCCGAAACUGUCGGUCUAGGGACUCGGAGGGGCUAGUGGAAUUCCUGGUGGAGCAGUGAAAUGCGUAGAUAUCAGGAGGAACACCAACGGCGAAGGCAGCUAGCUGGACGAGAUCCGACGCUCAGGCUCGAAAGUAUGGGGAGCAAAAAGG
Molecule: ribosomal RNA, 253 nt
Filed under: uncultured bacterium
Lineage: Bacteria
Also listed under: 1 other name
Description: partial 16S ribosomal RNA
Rfam family: Bacterial small subunit ribosomal RNA
Source: RNAcentral